AGGAGGAGCAGAGCUUCAUUAAUUCUGUGAAAUGGUUUAACGUCUGUCCAUGAGGAGGGUCCUGAGCCUGCCUUGGAAGUCACACUGCAUCAUUUCUGCUCCUAGGGCACUGACUAAUCAGCUCCUGCACCAGGGAACAGUGGAAAUCCUGCCUUUGGCACCAUGAUUUUUGUGCCAGAAAGAUUUAUCCAAAGGUGAUCACAGCCUUUGACUUACCUGCUCAGGAAAUCAAAGGCAGUGAGAGGAAAUGAACAUUCUCCAUUGCCCUCUGCUGCAAGUGCCUUCAGGAGGAGCUGGAAGGACUGUCUCUGAGAUGUGGCUGCAUUUGGAUCCCUUGAUU
Molecule: long non-coding RNA, 340 nt
Organism: Onychostruthus taczanowskii (white-rumped snowfinch)
Lineage: Eukaryota; Metazoa; Chordata; Aves; Passeriformes; Passeridae
Exons: 3
Source: RefSeq, a predicted model, not a curated record